Molecule: ribosomal RNA, 398 nt
Filed under: uncultured bacterium
Lineage: Bacteria
Description: partial 16S ribosomal RNA
Rfam family: Bacterial small subunit ribosomal RNA
Source: RNAcentral
AUACGUAGGGUGCGAGCGUUGUCCGGAAUUACUGGGCGUAAAGAGCUCGUAGGUGGUUUGUCGCGUCGUCUGUGAAAUUCCGGGGCUUAACUCCGGGCGUGCAGGCGAUACGGGCAUAACUUGAGUACUGUAGGGGAGACUGGAAUUCCUGGUGUAGCGGUGAAAUGCGCAGAUAUCAGGAGGAACACCGGUGGCGAAGGCGGGUCUCUGGGCAGUAACUGACGCUGAGGAGCAAAAGCAUGGGUAGCGAACAGGAUUAGAUACCCUGGUAGUCCAUGCCGUAAACGGUGGGCGCUAGGUGUAGGGGUCUUCCACGACUUCUGUGCCGUAGCUAACGCAUUAAGCGCCCCGCCUGGGGAGUACGGCCGCAAGGCUAAAACUCAAAGGAAUUGACGGGG